CCCCUAGACGUUCUGGGCUGCACGCGCGCUACAAUAAUACGCACAGCGAGUAUCACCGAGCUCGAAAGGGCAAGGUAAACAAUAGAAAAGGUACUGUAAUGGUUAUAGAUCCUUGUAAUUAUUGAUCUUCAACGAGGAAUUCCUAGUAAGUAUGUGUCAUCAUCACGCACUGAUUACGUCCCUGCCCUUUGUACACACCGCCCGUCGCUCCUACCGAUUGGGUGAGGCGAUGAAACUCUCGGAUGUAGGCUAUUCAUAGCCCGCAGAAGAGAUUUGAAUCGUAGCGCUUAGAGGAAGGAGAAGUCGUAACA
Molecule: ribosomal RNA, 311 nt
Filed under: uncultured eukaryote
Lineage: Eukaryota
Description: partial 18S ribosomal RNA
Rfam family: Eukaryotic small subunit ribosomal RNA
Source: RNAcentral